Molecule: ribosomal RNA, 1289 nt
Filed under: Vibrio sp.
Lineage: Bacteria; Pseudomonadati; Pseudomonadota; Gammaproteobacteria; Vibrionales; Vibrionaceae
Description: bacterial SSU rRNA
Rfam family: Bacterial small subunit ribosomal RNA
Source: RNAcentral
GGCCUCUCGCGUCAGGAUAUGCCUAGGUGGGAUUAGCUAGUUGGUGAGGUAAGGGCUCACCAAGGCGACGAUCCCUAGCUGGUCUGAGAGGAUGAUCAGCCACACUGGAACUGAGACACGGUCCAGACUCCUACGGGAGGCAGCAGUGGGGAAUAUUGCACAAUGGGCGCAAGCCUGAUGCAGCCAUGCCGCGUGUGUGAAGAAGGCCUUCGGGUUGUAAAGCACUUUCAGUCGUGAGGAAGGUAGUGUAGUUAAUAGCUGCAUUAUUUGACGUUAGCGACAGAAGAAGCACCGGCUAACUCCGUGCCAGCAGCCGCGGUAAUACGGAGGGUGCGAGCGUUAAUCGGAAUUACUGGGCGUAAAGCGCAUGCAGGUGGUUUGUUAAGUCAGAUGUGAAAGCCCGGGGCUCAACCUCGGAAUUGCAUUUGAAACUGGCAGACUAGAGUACUGUAGAGGGGGGUAGAAUUUCAGGUGUAGCGGUGAAAUGCGUAGAGAUCUGAAGGAAUACCGGUGGCGAAGGCGGCCCCCUGGACAGAUACUGACACUCAGAUGCGAAAGCGUGGGGAGCAAACAGGAUUAGAUACCCUGGUAGUCCACGCCGUAAACGAUGUCUACUUGGAGGUUGUGGCCUUGAGCCGUGGCUUUCGGAGCUAACGCGUUAAGUAGACCGCCUGGGGAGUACGGUCGCAAGAUUAAAACUCAAAUGAAUUGACGGGGGCCCGCACAAGCGGUGGAGCAUGUGGUUUAAUUCGAUGCAACGCGAAGAACCUUACCUACUCUUGACAUCCAGAGAACUUUCCAGAGAUGGAUUGGUGCCUUCGGGAACUCUGAGACAGGUGCUGCAUGGCUGUCGUCAGCUCGUGUUGUGAAAUGUUGGGUUAAGUCCCGCAACGAGCGCAACCCUUAUCCUUGUUUGCCAGCGAGUAAUGUCGGGAACUCCAGGGAGACUGCCGGUGAUAAACCGGAGGAAGGUGGGGACGACGUCAAGUCAUCAUGGCCCUUACGAGUAGGGCUACACACGUGCUACAAUGGCGCAUACAGAGGGCGGCCAACUUGCGAAAGUGAGCGAAUCCCAAAAAGUGCGUCGUAGUCCGGAUUGGAGUCUGCAACUCGACUCCAUGAAGUCGGAAUCGCUAGUAAUCGUGGAUCAGAAUGCCACGGUGAAUACGUUCCCGGGCCUUGUACACACCGCCCGUCACACCAUGGGAGUGGGCUGCAAAAGAAGUAGGUAGUUUAACCUUCGGGGGGACGCUUACCACUUUGUGGUUCAUGACUGGGGUGAAUCGUAA